GUCCACGCCCUAAACGAUGGAUACUAAUCAGGAGGCCCUGCAAGGGGUUUCUUGACGGAGCGAAAGCGUUAAGUAUCCCGCCUGGGGAGUAUGGUCGCAAGGCUGAAACUCAAAGGAAUUGACGGGGGCUCACACAAGCGGUGGAGCAUGUUGCUUAAUUCGAUGCAACGCGAAGAACCUUACCCGGGCUCGAAAUGUACGGAUUAGCUCUAUGAAAGUAGGGUGACACCUUAACCGGUGGAACGUAUAUAGGUGUUGCAUGGCUGUCGU
Molecule: ribosomal RNA, 270 nt
Filed under: uncultured bacterium
Lineage: Bacteria
Description: partial 16S ribosomal RNA
Rfam family: Bacterial small subunit ribosomal RNA
Source: RNAcentral